Molecule: ribosomal RNA, 316 nt
Filed under: uncultured bacterium
Lineage: Bacteria
Description: bacterial SSU rRNA
Rfam family: Bacterial small subunit ribosomal RNA
Source: RNAcentral
UGAACGCUGGCGGCAUGCCUUACACAUGCAAGUCGAACGGUAGAAGGGGCAACCCUUCGAGAGUGGCGAACGGGUGAGUAAUGCAUCGGAACGUGCCCAGUCGUGGGGGAUAGCCCGGGGAAACCCGGAUUAAUACCGCAUACGACCUGAGGGUGAAAGCGGGGGACUCGUAAGGGCCUCGCGCGAUUGGAGCGGCCGAUGUCGGAUUAGGUAGUUGGUGGGGUAAAGGCCCACCAAGCCUGCGAUCCGUAGCUGGUCUGAGAGGACGACCAGCCACACUGGGACUGAGACACGGCCCAGACUCCUACGGGAGGCA